Long non-coding RNA from Jaculus jaculus (lesser Egyptian jerboa), 357 nucleotides. RefSeq lists it as uncharacterized. The transcript is spliced from 3 exons. Lineage: Eukaryota; Metazoa; Chordata; Mammalia; Rodentia; Dipodidae. The record is from RefSeq and is a predicted model, not a curated record.
GUUUAACUUCACAACCAGCUUUUCCAACACACUGUUGAUAUUUCUCUCUUUUAUAUGACAGAUGUGGUUUCACAGGGCAUGGAGAGGUUGCUUAAAUUCUGCAAAGGCCUUAGCCGCUAAACCAUCCCUCAAACCAGUAUCAGUCAACUUUUAAGAGCAUACAACCACUAUGCUAAGUGCUCUCCAACAAGCUAAUGAGAUACUGCAGUCCUAGCAAUCCAGCCUGAAACUGUUCUCCAUCUAAAAGCUCUAUCGGGGGCUGGAGAGAUGGCUUAGCGGUUAAGCGCUUGCCUGUGAAGCCUAAGGACCCCGGUUCGAGGCUCGGUUCCCCAGGUCCCACGUUAGCCAGAUGCACAA